Molecule: ribosomal RNA, 253 nt
Filed under: uncultured bacterium
Lineage: Bacteria
Description: partial 16S ribosomal RNA
Rfam family: Bacterial small subunit ribosomal RNA
Source: RNAcentral
UACGUAGGGGGCAAGCGUUGUCCGGAUUCAUUGGGCGUAAAGAGCGUGUAGGCGGCCAGGUAGGUCGGUUGUGAAAACUGGAGGCUCAACCUUCAGAGGUCGACCGAAACCAUCUGGCUAGAGUCCGGGAGAGGAGAGUGGAAUUCCUGGUGUAGCGGUGAAAUGCGCAGAUAUCAGGAAGAACACCCGUGGCGAAAGCGGCUCUCUGGAACGGUACUGACGCUGAGACGCGAAAGCGUGGGGAGCGAUCAGG